UAGCGGUGAAAUGCUUAGAUAUCACGAAGAACUCCGAUUGCGAAGGCAGCCUGCUAAGCUGCAACUGACAUUGAGGCUCGAAAGUGUGGGUAUCAAACAGGAUUAGAUACCCUGGUAGUCCACACGGUAAACGAUGAAUACUCGCUGUUUGCGAUAUACUGCAAGCGGCCAAGCGAAAGCGUUAAGUAUUCCACCUGGGGAGUACGCCGGCAACGGUGAAACUCAAAGGAAUUGACGGGGGCCCGCACAAGCGGAGGAACAUGUGGUUUAAUUCGAUGAUACGCGAGGAACCUUACCCGGGCUUAAAUUGCAGAUGAAUUACGGUGAAAGCCGUAAGCCGCAAGGCAUCUGUGAAGGUGCUGCAUGGUUGUCGUCAGCUCGUGCCGUGAGGUGUCGGCUUAAGUGCCAUAACGAGCGCAACCCUUGUUGUCAGUUACUAACAGGUUUCGCUGAGGAUUCUGACAAGACUGCCAUCGUAAGAUGUGAGGAAGGUGGGGAUGACGUCAAAUCAGCACGGCCCUUACGUCCGGGGCUACACACGUGUUACAAUGGGGGGUACAGAGGGCCGCUACCACGCGAGUGGAUGCCAAUCCCAAAAACCUCUCUCAGUUCGGACUGGAGUCUGCAACCCGACUCCACGAAGCUGGAUUUGCUAGUAAUCGCGCAUCAGCCACGGCGCGGUGAAUACGUUCCCGGGCCUUGUACACACCGCCCGUCAAGCCAUGGGAGCCGGGGGUACCUGAAGUGCGUAACCGCGAGGAGCGCCCUAGGGUAAAACUGGUGACUGGGGCU
This 792-nucleotide ribosomal RNA is filed under the name uncultured organism. Its description in RNAcentral is "SSU rRNA". It matches the Rfam family "Bacterial small subunit ribosomal RNA", at positions 676 to 1482 of the family's 1533-position model. The record is from RNAcentral.